Molecule: long non-coding RNA, 349 nt
Filed under: Triticum aestivum (bread wheat)
Lineage: Eukaryota; Viridiplantae; Streptophyta; Magnoliopsida; Poales; Poaceae
Description: long non-coding RNA (TAES_LNC017707)
Source: RNAcentral
CUCCUCUUCUUCUUCUUCUUCUUCUUCUUCUUCUUCCCCCUUCUACUUAUUCUACUUUUCGUCUUAUUUUUUCAUCUUUUUUCACUUCCUUUAAUUAUGACUAUUUAACUAAAACCUAACACUAGUCUAAUAUAAUCCAAUCUAAUUAAUCUAAUCUAGCUAACUAUAUAACCUAAACCUAAACUAAUUAAAACUAAACUAUUUAAACUAAUUAAACCUAAACUAAUUAAACUAAAUAACCUAAACUAAUUAAUUCUAAACUGAAAAAACUUAAACUAAAAAACCUUAUCUAAACAGAAAAGAAAAACAAAAAAACAGAAAAGAAAAUAGGACACAGGGGGGCGGCAGG